CUAAAUCUGGCAUGCCCUGUAAGAGUUAAUAGUAAUACACAGACACCAUGCUUUAAAUUCUAUUGGAAACAAAAUGAGUUAGUGGUGUGUUGUACAGUGUAGGGUAGCUUUAUUUUACUACACCUGCUUUUAAUAAAGUACUUCUUCUUCCAAAAGGCUGGAGAGAUACCAUUGGCUUAAAAGGAAAUUUAUUAUUUCUAUGCAUUUUACAGUAUGUAGAUAUUUGACUUCUCUGUAUUUACAAGAUUUAAAUAUUUUUAUAUAUGGUUUGUGUAUCAUAAAUUCAGAUAUUUUUCGAUGAAGCUUUUAGAUUGAGAUAGAGUGGAAGACUAAAUAUGAAUGAGACUACAAAAAACAAUGGUAGAUUUUGUUCAAAUUCUGUUACAAUAUUGUCUAAAUAUUUUAGAAUUUCAAUACUUUUGCUCUUAAAUAGAUUUCUAUGCUUAAAGACUGUUAGAAUAUGAUCAAGUAUUUUAAUGUGAUACUAGUAAGAGUACUGUACUAUGCACAAACUUUUAGCUGUAGUUCAAACAAUAAAAACUUUAAAAUGAUCUAUUAACCAUAAUUCAUGUAUCUUUCUCUGAGUCAUUUAAGCAUGCAAAACAUACUU
Tinamus guttatus (white-throated tinamou) is the source of this 610-nucleotide non-coding RNA. The record is from RefSeq and is a predicted model, not a curated record. Lineage: Eukaryota; Metazoa; Chordata; Aves; Tinamiformes; Tinamidae.